This 251-nucleotide ribosomal RNA is filed under the name uncultured bacterium. RNAcentral describes it as "partial 16S ribosomal RNA". It matches the Rfam family "Bacterial small subunit ribosomal RNA", at positions 103 to 354 of the family's 1533-position model. The record is from RNAcentral.
CGGGUGAGUAACGCGUGGAAAACCUGCCGUAUACUGGGGGAUAACACUUAGAAAUAGGUGCUAAUACCGCAUAAGCGCACAGCUUCGCAUGAGGUGGUGUGAAAAACUCUGGUGGUAUACGAUGGUUCCGCGUCUGAUUAGCUUGUUGGUGGGGUAAUGGCUCACCAAGGCGACGAUCAGUAGCCGGCCUGAGAGGGUGAACGGCCACAUUGGGACUGAGACACGGCCCAAACUCCUACGGAAGGCAGCAG